GACGUAGGGCGCGAGCGUUGUCCGGAUUUAUUGGGCGUAAAGAGCGUGUAGGCGGCUUGGCAAGUCCGCUGUGAAAACUCGAGGCUCAACCUCGAGACGUCGGUGGAAACUGCCUCGCUAGAGUCCGGAAGAGGAGAGUGGAAUUCCUGGUGUAGCGGUGAAAUGCGCAGAUAUCAGGAAGAACACCCGUGGCUAAGGCGGCUCUCUAGUACGGUACUGACGCUGAGACGCGAAAGCGUGGGGAGCGAACAGG
Molecule: ribosomal RNA, 253 nt
Filed under: uncultured bacterium
Lineage: Bacteria
Description: partial 16S ribosomal RNA
Rfam family: Bacterial small subunit ribosomal RNA
Source: RNAcentral